RNAcentral lists this ribosomal RNA (334 nucleotides) under Escherichia coli. Its description in RNAcentral is "partial 23S ribosomal RNA". It matches the Rfam family "Bacterial large subunit ribosomal RNA", at positions 1233 to 1569 of the family's 2925-position model. Lineage: Bacteria; Pseudomonadati; Pseudomonadota; Gammaproteobacteria; Enterobacterales; Enterobacteriaceae. The record is from RNAcentral.
GGAGCGUUCUGUAAGCCUGUGAAGGUGGCCUGUGAGGGUUGCUGGAGGUAUCAGAAGUGCGAAUGCUGACAUAAGUAACGAUAAAGCGGGUGAAAAGCCCGCUCGCCGGAAGACCAAGGGUUCCUGUCCAACGUUAAUCGGGGCAGGGUGAGUCGACCCCUAAGGCGAGGCCGAAAGGCGUAGUCGAUGGGAAACAGGUUAAUAUUCCUGUACUUGGUGUUACUGCGAAGGGGGGACGGAGAAGGCUAUGUUGGCCGGGCGACGGUUGUCCCGGUUUAAGCGUGUAGGCUGGUUUUCCAGGCAAAUCCGGAAAACCAAGGCUGAGGCGUGAUGA